GUGCAGCAGGCGCGAAAACUCCGCAAUGCGCGAAAGCGUGACGGGGUCACCCCGAGUGCCGUCCGCUGAGGAUGGCUUUUGCCUGGUCUAACCAGCCGGGUGAAUAAGGGGAGGGCAAGUCUGGUGUCAGCCGCCGCGGUAAUACCAGCUCCCCGAGUGGUUGGGACGAUUAUUGGGCCUAAAGCGUCCGUAGCCGGUUUUGUAAGUUUCUGGGUAAAUCCCACAGCUUAACUGCGGGAAUUCCAGAAAUACUGCAGAGCUAGGGGCCGGGAGACGCAGAAGGUACUCCUGGGGUAGGGGUGAAAUCCUAUAAUCCUAGGGGGACCACCAGUGGCGAAGGCGUUCUGCGAGAACGGGCUCGACGGUGAGGAACGAAACCUAGGGGAGCGAGCCGGAUUAGAUACCCGGGUAGUCC
This 415-nucleotide ribosomal RNA is filed under the name uncultured archaeon. Its description in RNAcentral is "partial 16S ribosomal RNA". It matches the Rfam family "Archaeal small subunit ribosomal RNA", at positions 330 to 747 of the family's 1478-position model. The record is from RNAcentral.